GCAUAUCAAUAAGCGGAGGAAAAGAAACCAACAGGGAUUGCCCCAGUAACGGCGAGUGAAGCGGCAACAGCUCAAAUUUGAAAUCUGGCUCCGGCCCGAGUUGUAAUUUGUAGAGGAUGCUUUUGGUGAGGUGCCUACUGAGUUCCCUGGAACGGGACGCCAGAGAGGGUGAGAGCCCCGUAUAGUAGGUUACCGACCCUCUGUAAAGCUCCUUCGACGAGUCGAGUAGUUUGGGAAUGCUGCUCAAAAUGGGAGGUAUAUCUCUUCUAAAGCUAAAUAUAGGCCAGAGACCGAUAGCGCACAAGUAGAGUGAUCGAAAGAUGAAAAGCACUUUGAAAAGAGGGUUAAAUAGCACGUGAAAUUGUUGAAAGGGAAGCGCUUGUGACCAGACUUGCGCCGGGCUGAUCAUCCAGUGUUCUCACUGGUGCACUCGACCCGGCUCAGGCCAGCGUCGGUUCUCGUAGGGGGAUAAAAGCUUCGGGAACGUGGCACCUUCGGGUGUGUUAUAGCCCGCUGCUUAAUACCCCUGUGGGGACCGAGGUUCGCGCUCUGCAAGGACGCUGGCAUAAUGGUCAUCAGCGACCCGUCUUGAAACACGGACCAAGGAGUCGAGGUUUUGCGCGAGUGUUUGGGUGUAAAACCCGCACGCGUAAUGAAAGUGAACGUAGGUGAGAGCUUCGGCGCAUCAUCGACCGAUCCUGAUGUAUUCGGAUGGAUUUGAGUAAGAGCGUAAAGCCUCGGACCCGAAAGAUGGUGAACUAUGCCUGAAUAGGGUGAAGCCAGAGGAAACUCUGGUGGAGGCUCGCAGCGGUUCUGACGUGCAAAUCGAUCGUCAAAUUUGGGCAUGGGGGGCGAAAGACUAAUCGAACCAUCUAGUAGCUGGUUACCGCCGA
RNAcentral lists this ribosomal RNA (893 nucleotides) under Coniochaeta leucoplaca. Its description in RNAcentral is "LSU rRNA". It matches the Rfam family "Eukaryotic large subunit ribosomal RNA", at positions 38 to 964 of the family's 3401-position model. The record is from RNAcentral. Lineage: Eukaryota; Fungi; Ascomycota; Sordariomycetes; Coniochaetales; Coniochaetaceae.